This 253-nucleotide ribosomal RNA is filed under the name uncultured bacterium. RNAcentral describes it as "partial 16S ribosomal RNA". It matches the Rfam family "Bacterial small subunit ribosomal RNA", at positions 524 to 776 of the family's 1533-position model. The record is from RNAcentral.
UACGUAGGUGGCAAGCGUUAUCCGGAUUUAUUGGGUGUAAAGGGCGUGUAGGCGGGAGCGCAAGUCAGAUGUGAAAACUCAGGGCUCAACCCUGAGCCUGCAUUUGAAACUGUGUUUCUUGAGUGCUGGAGAGGCAAUCGGAAUUCCGUGUGUAGCGGUGAAAUCCGUAGAUAUCUGGAGGAACAUCAGUGGCGAAGGCGGCCACCUGGACCGGUAUUGACGCUGAGGCGCGAAAGCGUGGGGAGCAAACAGG